UACGAAGGGGGCUAGCGUUGCUCGGAAUCACUGGGCGUAAAGCGCACGUAGGCGGCUUUUUAAGUCAGGGGUGAAAUCCUGGAGCUCAACUCCAGAACUGCCUUUGAUACUGAGAAGCUUGAGUCCGGGAGAGGUGAGUGGAACUGCGAGUGUAGAGGUGAAAUUCGUAGAUAUUCGCAAGAACACCAGUGGCGAAGGCGGCUCACUGGCCCGGUACGGACGCUGAGGUGCGAAAGCGGGGGGAGCAAACAGG
This 253-nucleotide ribosomal RNA is filed under the name uncultured bacterium. RNAcentral describes it as "partial 16S ribosomal RNA". It matches the Rfam family "Bacterial small subunit ribosomal RNA", at positions 524 to 776 of the family's 1533-position model. The record is from RNAcentral.